This 407-nucleotide long non-coding RNA is filed under the name Parus major (Great Tit). RNAcentral describes it as "lncRNA (ENSPMJG00000012234.1)". The record is from RNAcentral. Lineage: Eukaryota; Metazoa; Chordata; Aves; Passeriformes; Paridae.
GCUCACCUCGCUGGGCGCUGAUAAAAUGCCUGGGCCGGGUGAUCUGCUGAGCAGCCCUGCAGAAAAACCUGCAGAGCUUGGGAGCCUGAUCUGCCAGCGACCAGCCCGGGGCUCCAGAGCACAGCAAGGUGAGCAACUUGCAGUGAUACACUUGGGAGAGUCCUCUUGAUGGAUUUGAACUGAAUAUAAAACCCUGGACAUCUUCUGAGCAGUUCCUUUGAAAUCCAGUGCGAAAAACAUCAUCUCUGCCUCCAGUUGUGCUAUGGACCUUGGGGCUCUGCAAAUCAGAUUAAAAGCUGUUUGGGAAGACAAGUCCUGAGAUGAAGCUCUGAGCUCAUAUGGACACAAAUUCCCAGAAACACAGAAGAGUGGCCUGAAACCAUUGGUUUGAAGGUACAAAAUUUUGU